GGGGUUUGUGAUGGUACAUUAGUAUUGUGGGAAGUUGGGCCAUGAGACAAAUGUAUGCUCGAAGAGAAAGGAGCCUAUAGUGUGGCUGGAGUAUGAGCCCACAUAGGCACCCCCAACUAGUCGAGCAUCUCAAAUGUGACCACAAUAAGGAGGACGACAACAAAGGCCUAGGAUCCAAGAAAGAGUUUAUGCACUCACUUAGCAAGAUGCUA
Molecule: long non-coding RNA, 212 nt
Filed under: Elaeis guineensis (African oil palm)
Lineage: Eukaryota; Viridiplantae; Streptophyta; Magnoliopsida; Arecales; Arecaceae
Description: long non-coding RNA (EGUI_LNC046472)
Source: RNAcentral